GCGUUCAAACCCAUGUCCCCUGCAUUGGCAGGCAUAUUCUCAACCACUGUGCCACCAGGGAAGCCCAUUUUUAUUCUUUAUAAAUUAUAUUACUUAUUCCCAUAUCAUUAAGAUCUAUUUCUGAGGGUUUUGUCUCGUUCUUUCAUUUUGAACAUAUUUUUCUGUUUCCUCACUUUGCUUUGAUCUCUAUGUUUAUUUCCAUGUAUUAGGCAAUAUUGCUACCUCUCUCAUUCUUGAAGGAGUGACCUUGUGUAGAUGAUGAUCCUUCUCAUUCAACCUCGUCCUAGCUCUUGGUUGUCUCACAAAUCUUUGCAGUUGUCUAUACCACCUGAUUUAUUCUUGAUAUGCCCCUGAUGUUGAGGAUGUACUGAGACCUCUCAGUGUUCCAAGGGGAGGAAUCUCAUUUAACCCCAGUGUCAGUCUGAUUGGAAGCCAGACCCUCAGGCAGUACUUUUAAAGUACACAGAUAUAUACAUUCCAGUGGAGCCAUAAUUGUAUUCUCUGCUGGCUUCCAGAUGAGGAGACCUGGAGGUGUCCUCUGGGUAACAGCUACAAACAUUGGGGCUCCUGACUAGUAUAUAAGUUGCACUCUGGGGAGCCUUGUUGAGCAUUAGUGAGGCCAAGAGGGUGGGCAAGGAUGGUGUCUCCCUGCUUAUGUACCCUGGGAGCACCUCCUUAACCUCUAGAUGUGUGGGAAACCUGAAGCCUCUACUUCAGGGUGAAGUUCCAGGCUAAGUAAAUAGGCCUUUUUCACAGGAAGACUGAGAUUGUGUUUCAGUCUGCUGUCUGUGCAGUACCCUGGUGUUGGUGGCCUGCUGAGAACUGUCUUUCUGAUUGUUACAGUCCCAUGGAGCUCUGGAAUGCCAGCCCUCUUGGUCAACAGGGCCAGGCAAUCAAGUGCUGUCCCUUUUGUGAAUUGUACAUGCCCAACAACUUUGGCUAGGAAGCUGGAGAGUGUAUGGUGCAGGGCUUGUUCCCUUUUUUCAUAAAGGCAGUGGAAAAAUGACUGCAUACAGUUGCAGGCUUCAGCAACACAGCAGUAGAGUGCCUUGUCUGAGUGCAUGUCAGCUUUAGGCCAGGUGUAGGAGAAUGCUGCAACUGCUCAUAUUUGCAAGACCCAGCCUGGUGGCAGGGAAGUGUUGAGCUGGCUUUAGGCUGGGAGAGGAAUAAUACUGCAACUUGUCAUACUCGCCUUCCCCAGCCAGGGAACGGUGUGUGUGUGUGUGUGUGUGUGUGUGUGUGUGUGUGUGCUGCAACAACAGACAUUCCCUAGUUUCAGCAAGGUGGUGGGAUAGUGCUGUGACUGCUCGCCCCCACAUCUCAAGUCAAUUCUCACAUUCUUUUCAGGUGGAAUGAUCCUUAUAUAGCUGUAUAUUUAUUGUAUCCUUGGGAGGAGGUCAAUUUGGAGAGAGCUGAAAAAUUUCCUGCACCUCCACAAGUCUUUUAAUCCAUGAACAUGGAGUCAAGAUGGUGAAAUAGGAGGACAUGGAAUUCGCCUCUCCUCACAAGUACCUCAAGAAUACAUCUACAAAUGGAACAGUUCUCACAGACCACCUGCUGAAUACUAGUGGAAGACCUUGGACACCUAAAAGGACAAGAAAACCCCCCAGCAACUGGGUAAGAUGAAAGAAAGAGAAAAAAGAAAAGAGGAAACAGGAAGGGACCAGCACCGCUGACAGGGAGAUGAAGGUGAGGAGAGCUUCCUGCACUCAGAGAAGCCCCCUCAUGGUGGAGAAAUCAGCUGGGACAGAGAGAGACCUUUGGGGGAUUGCGAGAUCAGAGGAUAACACAGCAACAGGUCUGUGGAAAGCAGGACAGAGUAAGAUCUAUGCACAUGGUCCUUGCUGCAGCCCUGUGCACCCCACCUUGAGUUGUGUGUCUCUUGGUGUGGAGGGGGGCUGGGUACUGGAAAGUGGGGUUCAGAGAGUGGACCCAGGGAGGGGACAGCUGUUGGCUGUGAAGAGACAGCCUGAAGGAAUGGGAGUAAGGAGAUCCACAACCAGGAAUGUUUGUGGAAGAAGCCCAGGCCACCAUAGAAACAAGGCACCACUGUUGAGUGGUGCACAAGGGGCGGGGCCACCAUUGCAAUGCUGUUCCCUACCCUCCAGCCCCUGACUCUGCAUGCAGUGGAGGGGCACCCGUCUGAGAAGGUUGGCCUGCACCUCAAGCCUAGGCCUCCUCUGCCCACGCAGGGUCCGGGGUCCUGAGCGCUGCCCCAACCAAAGCCUCCAGGGAACCAGCCCUGGGUGCCCCAACCUGAGACGGGAAUCUGCCAGUGCUGGCGGGGGCUGAGUGCUAAAGUGUGGGGUUAGGAGAGUGGACCUGGGGAGAAGGCUCCUGUUGGCUGCAUGGAGAUGGCCUGAAGGGAUGGGAAUGAGGAGCUCAGGUGCGCGGAGACAACCUGAGGGGACAGGAGUGAGGGGUUCUGUGGUUGGGAAUCCUCCUGGAGGAAGCGUGGUCUGCCUUGGAAACGAGGUGCCAUUGUUGAGUGGUGCGCAAGGGGCUGGGCUGUCAUCGUGGACUCUCUCCCCACACGCCAGCCCCUGCUUCUGCGGGAACUGCCCACCAGAGUGCCUCAGACUGUUGCAACUUCCUGCUGGUCUCUGCAGCUGCAUGCACUAGAGGGGGAUCCCAUCAGAGUGAGUGUGAGUGCCCCAGUUGUGACCACCUGAUCCAUCCCUGCCCUGAGCAAGCAAGUGUGCCCCAGUCAGCUGUUCCUUUUACCCCGUCUCACCUGGAACAGAUGCCUGAGGGUGGCCCACACGUAGAAGUGGGACCAAAACCAAAGCUGAGCCCCAGGGGCUGUACAGCUGCACAAGGGAGAGGAACAGAAAUCUCUCUGUAUAGCUGCACAAGCUGUGGGUUAAAUCCCCAUGAUCAGCUUGGUAAACCCUGCAUCUGUGGAAUAUCUGAAUAGACAAUGAGUGCUCCCACAACUGAGACCAGUCUAGCUUUAGCAGCCAUGGACUUUGGGGGCAAGUACAUGCAGGAGUUGGGGCAGGUUCUGA
This is a long non-coding RNA of Aethalodelphis obliquidens (Pacific white-sided dolphin), 3008 nucleotides long. RefSeq lists it as uncharacterized. The transcript is spliced from 3 exons. The record is from RefSeq and is a predicted model, not a curated record. NCBI's taxonomy places the organism in Eukaryota, Metazoa, Chordata, Mammalia, Artiodactyla, Delphinidae.